CCCUUAGAUGUCCUGGGCCGCACGCGCGCUACACUGAGUGUCUGAGAUACGAGUCUGCCUGGUCCGGCAAGGUCUAGGUAAUCGCUAAAAGACACAUCAUGCUUGGGAUAGAUUAUUGCAAAUAUUAAUCUUGAACGAGGAAUUCCUAGUAAGCGCAAGUCAACAGCUUGCGUUGAUUACGUCCCUGCCCUUUGUACACACCGCCCGUCGCUACUACUAAUUGGAUGCUUAAGCGAGGUUCUCGAACUGCUAGCGACUUAGCUUCGGUGAGGUCGCAGUGUGGGAAGUGAACCUAGCUUUGGUGUCUAGAGGAAGUAAAAGUCGUAACA
This 329-nucleotide ribosomal RNA is filed under the name uncultured eukaryote. RNAcentral describes it as "partial 18S ribosomal RNA". It matches the Rfam family "Eukaryotic small subunit ribosomal RNA", at positions 1470 to 1796 of the family's 1831-position model. The record is from RNAcentral.